RNAcentral lists this ribosomal RNA (419 nucleotides) under Lipophrys pholis (shanny). Its description in RNAcentral is "partial 16S ribosomal RNA". It matches the Rfam family "Bacterial large subunit ribosomal RNA", at positions 1974 to 2548 of the family's 2925-position model. The record is from RNAcentral. Lineage: Eukaryota; Metazoa; Chordata; Actinopteri; Blenniiformes; Blenniidae.
UUUUAAAUGAAGACCUGUAUGAAUGGCACGACGAGGGCUUGACUGUCUCCUUUCCCCAGUCAAUGAAAUUGUUUUCCCCGUGCAGAAACGGGGAUAAAUACAUAAGACGAGAAGACCCUGUGGAGCUUUAGAUAAUAAAUAGCCCCUUGUAAACACCCUUCGUAAUAGGUUAGAAUUAGAAGGGGAUCUAUUUUGCUAUCUUUGGUUGGGGCGACCGCGGGGGAACAAAAAGCCCCCACGUGGAAUAAGGACACCUUCUUUCAACCAAGAGCAGCAGCUCGAAGUAACAGAACAUCUGACCUAUAAAGAUCCGCAUAGCCGAUCAACGGACCCAGUUACCCCAGGGAUAACAGCGCAAUCCUCUCCCAGAGCCCGUAUCGACGAGGGGGUUUCACCUCGAUGUUGGAUCAGGACAUCCU